CCUACGGGGGACAGCAGUGGGGAAUAUUGCACAAUGGGCGAAAGCCUGAUGCAGCAACGCCGCGUGAGCGAUGAAGGCCUUCGGGUCGUAAAGCUCUGUCCUCAAGGAAGAUAAUGACGGUACUUGACGAGGAAUCCCCUGCUAACUACGUCCCAGCAGCCGCGGUAAUACGCAGGGGGCUAGCGUUAUCCGGAAUUACUGGGCGUAAAGGGUGCGUAGGUGGUUUCUUAAGUCAGAGGUAAAAGGCUACGGCUCAACCGUAGUGAGCCUUUGAAACUGGGGAGCUUGAGUGCAGGAGAGGAGAGUGGAAUUCGUAGUGUAGCGGUGAAAUGCGUAGAUAUUAGGAAGAACACCAGUUGCGAAGGCAGCUCUCUGGACUGUAACUGACGCUGAGGCACGAAAGCGUGGGGAGCGAACAGGAUUAGAUACCCUAGUAGUC
This 439-nucleotide ribosomal RNA is filed under the name uncultured bacterium. RNAcentral describes it as "partial 16S ribosomal RNA". It matches the Rfam family "Bacterial small subunit ribosomal RNA", at positions 338 to 795 of the family's 1533-position model. The record is from RNAcentral.